GUCUAACUAGACCAGAACUAACUAGACCAGAACUAGAAAGACCAGAACUAACUAGACCAGGUCUAACUAGACCAGAACUAACUAGACCAGAACUAGAAAGACCAGGUCUAACUAGACCAAGUCUAACUAGACCAGAACUAACUAGACCAGAACUAGAAAGACCAGAACUAACUAAACCAGGUCUAACUAGACCAGAACUAGAAAGACCAGGUCUAACUAGACCAGGUCUAACUAGACCUCACACUUCACAGAUGUUCAUGUAAACCAGUAACGGUCGUCUGUAUGUACAUUAAUAUCUAAAAACAGUACAAACA
Sebastes umbrosus (honeycomb rockfish) is the source of this 314-nucleotide long non-coding RNA. RefSeq lists it as uncharacterized. The transcript has 3 exons. The record is from RefSeq and is a predicted model, not a curated record. Lineage: Eukaryota; Metazoa; Chordata; Actinopteri; Perciformes; Sebastidae.